This 12708-nucleotide long non-coding RNA is filed under the name Lotus japonicus. RNAcentral describes it as "long non-coding RNA (LJAP_LNC001278)". The record is from RNAcentral. Lineage: Eukaryota; Viridiplantae; Streptophyta; Magnoliopsida; Fabales; Fabaceae.
GGAAAAAACUUUUAUCAAGCAGUUUAUAUAUUUUCUACAUCCAUGGGCAAAAUUUCAGUUCUAAGGUAGUGCAUAUGGUACUGAUGUUCCAGUAGAAAAAUGAUUUGAUUGAAUCAAACAAAAGUAAAAAUGAAAAUUGAGAAGCUGAAACUAAUCCGAGCAAACUUUCAUUUGUAUUAAUUCAUGUGGACCUCCUCGACAAAGAUAGGAAAGAUAAUUACAAAGAAUAAUAACAAUAAUUUGUCCUUGUGCUAUCACGCUCACUCUCAAAAUUUGUACAUCAAUUAAUGUUUGAAGCCAAGGUAGUGAGGAACAUGAAGAGCCUUGAUCCAAUCAAGGCCAGAUCGAGGUCCAGCCUUAAGGAACUCACCGGCUGUGAAUUGGGUAGCCUCAGCCCUGCUAAUGACACCACGGUAACCCUUCCACUUGAUCCUUCCUGCAGUGUUGGCACCGGGUCCAGUGUUGGCAUGCUCAGCAUAGUACAAGGUGUCAAGGGCAAAGCUUCCAGCCCAUGGGAACCAUCCCUCUGGAUGAAUGAAGUCACCCAAAGUAGAUUCCAUCACCACGGUCCUUGAGUACUCCUUCCAUGGCCUUCCGAGGUAAGACUUGAUCUUGAACCUCACAGGGAACAAUGCGGCUUCUGGGACAAUCUCACAAUCUUGGAUCACAAUACCUGUGUCCAGGAGCGACGAAGCAAUAGAAAAUAAGUAAGGUUGACAGACUAUAAAUAUUAAUUUACUAAAAAAAUGUUUUGUAGUAGUUAGUUAUGUCCUUACCUGUGGGCAUGUUCUUUGUUGGUGUACCGUCUGCGGUCACAGUGUUGAACUGGUUGUCAUUGGGCUUCCUCACGACGAUGAUGGAGUGUUGGAUCAAGGUGGGGGAGGUUCCAAAGAUAAAGUCAAUGGUACCGGAGAUGACACAGUUGCGGUAGAAUUGCCUGUUGGUCUGAACGUACAAGGUGUCUUGGUAACCCAAGAUGUGGCAGCCCACGAAAGCUGACUGAUCUCCUUGGUUUCUCAAUGCCACAGCUUGGUGACCGUUGGGACCGGCGGUGUUCUCGAAGGUAAUGGCCUUGGCAAUGAAUCCAGGUGCCUGGUUGGCUGCAUGCAUACAUGUAGAGAUAAAUUAGUGAAUCAUAAUUAUAUGAAAAAUGAUUCAUAGACAUAUGCAUACUAAAGUCAUCAGAAAUAAUGAAAUGUGAUCAGAAGGAAGCGGUAAGUUACCGAAGGUGGCAGUUUGCAUGGUCUUCACACCAUCAGCAAAGUUCUUGCGACCGGUGAUGAUGGUCUUUGUAGGGCCAUCACCGUACAUGAGAAUGUUAGCAGCGCUCUUGGGAACAGUGAUGUACUCAUUAUACACACCAGCCUUAACAUAAAUAACAUAUCUUCCCUUAAAUCCCUUGGGGUAUGAGGCAAUAGCAGCUUCGACGCUCUUGAAUUGACCAGAACCAUCCUUGGCAACCACGACGUUAGGCUUAACACGUGACCUCCACCCUCUUCUCUGAAGCCCAGACAAAAGCUUGCGGUCAGAAGCAGAGAACCAUGAAGGGUACCCUUCAUUGUCAACAUCCUCACUGAGAAGACGACGAGAAGCAGGUUUGAGAUCCAACUUCAAGUUGAACUGCUCAAGAAUUUUGGUCAUGCUAGUGACAAUGUCAAGGGUGAUGGCGGUGAUCCUCUGAACAUGGUCCAUGCUCUCGGUAUGGAGUUGCUCCUUGAUCUGCUUCUCACCGUCCUUGUCAUUGUCAAAACCUUCCAUGCAUGCUUGUUGGUACGAGAUAACAGCGCCCAACCAAUUCCUGAAAUCGGGGAUCUGGUUGUGCACGCCUUGGAUGUUGUUGUCGCGAACCAGGGUCGUGGAAAGGUCAAGACUUUGCAUGGCGGAUUGCAAGAGGUCCUUGCAAUCGUCAAGGGCCAUCUUGAUACCGUGGUCCUUGUUCCCGUACUCGGUUGUGAGUCGGUCGCUCAUGUUGAAGGCUUUGAUGACGCUGUCACUGGCAGCUUUCACCGCAGUCGCGAUGUAAGCCUUUGGAUCGGCGGCAUCAACCCCUUUCACGGAGCUGAGGGUAUCAUGGCAGAGCUUCUGGUCAUCGGUGUUUUGGCAAAUGGUCCUGACAGACCUCUGUUGAGUUUGAACCUCAGGGUCUGCAUUAUUGUUAUGAACAGAGACGACAAUGCCAAUGGCAACUCCUACUACGAGGAUGAGAGAAACAGCGGAGAUAAUUAUUUUCCCCUUCAUUUUUUAUUUUUUUUUUACAAAAACUUCUCUUCUUUUGAUAAUGGUUGAAAAGAAGGUAAGUUUUUAUUUUUUCCUCCCUCUGUUUCGUUGGGGAGGCUUUAUUUUAUGGAGAUCCUGCUUAGUAAUGGAGAUGAAGUUGGGUUUUUAUAUGUGUGCUUCGAGGUUUUUCAACCAAGGAAAUAAAAGGAAAGUGUAUAUUUAGCAAUGUCUCGUUGUGGUCUUCGUGAAUGGCAGGCAUAGCAUUGUUGUUGGGUCUGAGUUUUCGGAAUGGAUUGAAACACAGUGCUAUUUUUCUAAAGUGUGGUGUUUUACAAAUUAUCUAGCAUUGGUGGUGUCUAAAGAUAGUUGAAGGAGACCAUUUUGAACCUCAAGUUGCCUAUGUUCUAGCAAAGCCACUGGGUUAUUUUUGUUCUGGCUUUGAAUGGCUUCGGAUCAUCACUCGCUUCUGUGUGUUUCAAAGUGGGAAUGUUUAUGAGUUAAUGCAAUUUUAAUUUUGCAAAAUACGUGUCUUUAACUUGUUACGCUUGUUAAUUUAUGAGGAGAUCAUAUUAACAAUAAGAAAUGUCUUUUGUUAAAGAUUUUAUAACUUCAUGCUUUCAUCAUGCCCAUAUAAACGUAACAUUAAAAUGAAAAUUGAGAAUCGGGGUGCCUAAAGCUAUUAUUUUAGUGCCUCCCCCUUGGGCUGAUUAUGCAUUUGACCCUCUAACAAAUAUCAUUUAGUGGUCCACUGUUGCACUAUUAUCCUAGUAGGCCAUAGGGGUGAACAUGGGCCGGGUAAAUCCAAUGAACCCGCCCAACCCAAUCCGAUCCAAUAGAAAAAAUGCGGGUUGGAUCGGGCAAUCGGGUUAGUCGGAUGAAUUUUACUACAACCCAACUAAGUUCGGAUCGGAUUUCAGAUUCAGUUCAAAUCCAUCCAACCCAACCCAUAAUCCAUACAUAUAAUAAUAAUUUUUAUAAUUUUACUCAUACUUUGAGUGCUAGUGUCGGAGUGAUGACUUUUUGAAACUUUGAGACUUAAGUAUUUGUAGUUAUUUGUCAUAUUUGAACUUAGAGUAUUUGUUCGUAGUUAUUUGUUACAUGUUUAUAUAUAGUUAUUUGGCAUGUUGGAGAAAUCUAAAUUCUAAGUGUCAUGGCAUGACAUUUAAUGUUGUUUUUCACUUUUUUGAUACUAUUUAUAUUAGAUUGUUUCAUGUCAUUUGGUAAUGAAGUUUUAUGUUUUCAUGAUAUUUGGCUAUAUGUCAUUUAUGUGGUAUUAUUUCUAUAAUUUUUUAUAUCUUUUUCAUGCUAUUUAGUAUUAUAACAUAUUUAGUAUUUUUUAUCUUUUUCUGUAUUUAUAAUAAUUUUUGCAAGAUUUUUUUAAUAUUUCAUAUAUAUUAUUAUUUUAAUAUAGUGACCCAAUAAAUCCAUCCAACCCAAUCCAAACUUCGUCGGGUUGGUUCGGAUCGGGUCCGAAGAAGAAAUUCGUGAAAUCCAACCCAACCCAACCCAGACAAUUUUGAUCGGUUCGGAUUUUAUUUUGACUAAAAUCCAUCCAACCCAACCCAUGUGCACCCCUAGUAGGCCCCAUCCUGGCAAGGCCUAAAUAAAUAGUAUAUGCUAAAAUGGGUUAUCAAUUUUUCUCUUCUACAUUUUUAUGAAAAGGCAUCAAAGUAUGAGAAAAAUUUGGGUACUCUAUUUGUUCAUUACACCAAAUAUUCAAUACUCUUGUAUAAAAUUAGUGCUAAUUUAAUUCAAAUAAUAUGAAUUACCAACUCUAUAUGUGUUACCAACCCUAAACCUAAACACUGUUUUGGUGGGCCCAAGCUGCCACAUAGGAUUUAAGCAACCCAAACAGAAUUCGCUCCAACCAUGAUUGCUUAUUUUACUUUUGAUUGGGUCUCACUGUACCUCAUAUAUUUGUAUUAUUUCAAGGUCAAGAGACUAUUCAACUUCAUGAAUGAUGAAGGGUGAAGGGUCUAGGGGUCGAACCCUGAGGAUAACUAAUUUACUAACAUUACUAAUAACUAACAUUUGUCUAUAAAAGAAUGAAUGAAAGAGAAAAUAUGAAUUUUUUAAUCAAAAAGGAAGAAGAAAAAAAAAAGCAAUCGUUGCUUAAAUAAGCAAUGUUGCAAAAGUUUAAGCAAUCAUAUUGCUCCAAAAUAAACAACGUUGCUUAAGUGUUCAAACUGGAUUAAGCAACCACCAUUGGAGAUGCUCUUAUAAAUAUUAUUCAAUGGUACACUGUUAUAUAAUUAAUCUAGUAGACCACAUACUGACAUAGCCUAAAUAAAUAUAUUCUAAAACGGGUUCUAAAUUAUAGGUAAAAUUUCUCGCACCCAUAAAUACCUGCGAGUUCAAAAAUGGAUUAACUUUUUCUUUACUCGCUUGCUAAUGGGGCCAAGGUCGACCCAAGACCCAUGUGACCCAAGCAAGGGCUUUAGACCCUAAUUAUUUUUUUAUUAAGUAGAAAAGACAUCUCAUUCAUAUGAUAAGUCCAAUACUAUGUUUGUAAAGAAGGUCUCAAAUAAAUAUUAAGGCCUCAAUUCAAAAAACAAAACUCAAUAGUCUCCAUGUAAGGGAAAAAAAAAAUCUACCCCACGUAAACAAAAAUUAAUAAAGAAACUUUUUAAAGUAAAAAAGUCUCCUUUAAAAUUUGUAUUAGACCCCAUUUAAAAUUGGGCCGGCCCCGACACUAAAUCUACUCCACCAAAUUUCUUUCACACUACCGAUUAUACCUUCUUUAGGCUUUUGAUGAUCUUGGUUUUUGAACUCCUUUACCAUUUGAAAGUGAGGUCACACUAGAAUGAGAGAUUGAUCUUACGACUAUCUAUCGGUUAUCAUUGUGGAAUAUCUAACUACUCAAGUGAAGCCGAUUUAUAGUGCUCUGUUCGUAAAACAGAGGAAAAACAGGGGAGUUUAAAAGGAAAAGUAGUUGGUGGGUGGGGUUAAGACUUAACACACAACGUUUUCGUUUAUUAUGGGAUGAGCCAGAAAAACACCAAAUGUUGUCAUUAACAGUGCGGUUGUGUUGCUUCACAAAUGGAUGCCAAUGAUGCCAGAAUCUUGCUGGGUUUUCCACCCAAUUCACAUCCAACUCCAUCCCAGGUUUUUUCUAAUUCUUUCAAUCGUGAUCGUUUGAUUCAUAAUUCGCUCCCUUCAACAACUCAAUUUCAGUUUUUGAGCAUGACCCUUUUUUCUAUUCCCUAAUUCUCAGUGGUUUGAUAAUUAAUUUCAUUUCAUUACUUAGUGAUAAUUGGGAAGUGAUCAACAUUUUUUUGUUAUCCUAGAGUAAUCUUGAUGAUAAUUUGGAAGUGAUAAUUGUGAAUUUUUUUCUCUUUUUGUUUAGGUCAAAUCAGCUUACAAAAAGAAAGUGUGGGAAUCUCACCCUGACCUAUUUCCAUCUCAUGAGAAGCCUCUUGCUGAGUCCAAGUUUAAACUGGUAAGCUGUUCAAUUAAUUUUGUUAUUCCAUUUUCUGUUCAAAUGAUGAAAUUUUUCAUAACCAUGAUUGUGAAUUGUGAUGUUGGGAUUGGGAACUUGAUAUGGAGUUGCACUAUGACAGUGAAACAUUAGUUGUAAGCUUAGUAUAUCAGUGUGUUUCACUAAAUCACACAUGACCAAUUGUGUAGUGUAUGAAGAUAAUGGUCAUUCAUCUGUAUUCCCCUCACCGCGUUCUUUCUCUCGGUAUCCGGAAGCAAUGCCGGUGACUGACUACGAAUUGGUUUUGUUGGGACAGCUAUUUUGGCCAUUGUCAUAUUUCCUGCUGUUUAAUGGAAGGAGUAAUUGAAAUUUUAUGUUUUGCUGCAGAUUUCUGAAGCUUACGCAUGUCUACUGCCCGGUAAUUCUCCAUAUCCUUUCAACUUGUGGAAUAAAUAUUUCAAAAUGUCUCGUGAUUUGAAAUCCUGCACAGACAGUUAAAUUUAUUGACGAAACUUAAUGUGGAAGCAUGGUUUUACAAACCAUCAUAAUAUGACCCAAUUUCAGUAUUGAAUAAUAAGUAGGUCUGAACUCCUAAUCCUACCUGUCAUGGAAAUUUCUUUUCUUAGAGCUUACUAAAAUUCACAAGGAUAUACUUAUAGCAUCAUUAGUUAGCCUGUGGUCAACUCAAAAUGAGUAUAUAUUUGGAGCAGGCGACUAGAUUAUGGGAAAAGAACUUUGCAAAAGCUCCCUUUCAUUGUUUUAGCUUGUGUCUUUGAUAUUCUGUUAGUGAUCAGCAUUUAUAGCCAUUUUCAUGCUCGAAUGUCUAGCGUAAAUUUGCAUAAAAAUGCAGUAACAGGUCUGAAGUAAGCAUGAUAUCACAUUUUUUCCUAUUUUUUCCAAUACUUUGCCCAUCCUCCCCGGCCUUUAAUUUGAAUGAAAUCUUUCGGUUGUUGUCCAAGUACUCUGGCAGUUGAACGUAUGUACCUCUUCCUUUUUGUAUAUGGUGGUGACAAAAUGCAUUAAUAACAUGCUUGGAUCAAAUCCUUUUUCUUCAUAAUCAAUUCUGAAACUCAGAAGCGAUCACAUAAGCUUUUGACCAGAAUUAAUUAUGGCUUCAUAAUCAAUUGAAGAACUCUAGAAGAAUCUCAAAACAUGCACCAAGUUGUCUAACUCUAGAGCGAUAAGUAAUGUCCCUAUAUGUUUACAAUUCCAAAGAACUCAUUGUGAAUUUUUAUAAUUCAGAAAUAAAAAAAGGCAUGAUCUUCUCUUUAAGCUGAUGGAACAAGGAAUGCUAAUUUCCCUCCCUUGAAAGGGCCCUGAGCUUGUCCUUCUGCUUAUAGGGUCUUAAUAAAAAAUAAGAAAUGCAUUUGUUUAUAUUUGUUUUUCCACCUCUAAGUACUAAUAUAUAGAAUCUGUAACACAGGUGGCAGAGAAGCUUCAAGUUCAGGUAAUUCUGAAUCCUCCUAUGUGUGAUCUAAAACUAAUCCUUCUUUUUUCAGUUUCCUUAUUUAAAUGAAGCCUGAUUGUUGUUCAGUUGAAUAUUCAAGAGUUGUGAGAACCGGAGUUCCAAGGGCUCAAGGAGGAAGAAAAAAUCAUGCUAUGAUUAAAGUGCCAUUCAUUUUCCUUAUUCUCGGAACAGUCACGCUUGGAGGGUUUAAUGCUUCAAGGUGUUUAACGACCGGUCUUGUGGCUGAUUCUUAUAAACUUGUGGUUUUCAUUUCACGGUGACAAUAACACCCUUUCUUCCACUGUCCCGCAGGGCUUACAGAAGGCAAAAGGAGGCAUACCCUUCACACAAUCCAUUUCUUCCUUGAUGACCUUACAAGUUGGAAUGAAGCUCGUAACUUCAUAUUGUGCCUAAUUGCCAAUUGGUGAAUACUAUGUUGUAUAUUUUUUGUAUUUUUCAAAAGUCGAAAGAUCAAAUUUCACAUUUAAAAGUUAGAAGUAAUAAAAAACGAUUUUAUGUUAAAUCAGAAAACUUACUUUGUGAAGUUUUCAUAUGUACUGUGGGGUUAACGUUUGAUUUUAACUUUAUCCACAGUGAUUUGAUGUAUAAUAUAAUAUUGACACUAAUUAACAUUAUUUCUUGACCUCAUUUUGAGCACGUUUCUGCUUUGGGCUUUUUCCCUUGUUCUUCAUUUUCUUUUCUUUUUUCUUUGGUGAGUUGGCUUAACGAUUAAUAUUGUUGCAGUUCUGUGUACUUAAAAUCAUUUUUGGAUGAGUCUAUAUCUUGAAGGCCAGUUUUCACGGAUUUCAAGAUUCUUUUGAGAGAACUAUCUCGAUACAAAUUCAACAGGUUGUAACUUGUAAUGAAGGAGUUAGAUUUUAGUAGUCUAUAUUGGAGAAGUGGGAGGUGUAUUGAAGGCCAAAAGUUUGGCUAAGUUUGCUUAAAUGAGCCAAUAUGAAUGCUUUAUUUGAGGUUGAAAUAGGACUUAUGGCUUCAGGGUUAGAUUGUUCAGGUGGAAUUUCAAUCCAAAACUUGGAAGGUUAAGGGGCUCAUACAAGCCUUGAUUUAAGAUUGUAAGGUUGGUACUUUCAAGAUAGACGAGAAAGUACGAGUCCUGACUUGCGACCAGCAAACACAAAAUCGCCAAGUAACAAGACUCUUAUGAGGAUUUGCAUUGAAUUUUCGAUCUAAGUUAUCAAGCAACAAGACAGUAAGGAGGGUCUGUGUUGGAUCCUGAAUCUAAGCUGUCAAGCAACAAGACUUUUAGGAGGAUUCGUGUUGGAUCCUUAAGUAAGCUAUCAAGCAACAAGAUGGUCAAGAGGAUUGUGUUGGAUCUUGAACUUAUCAAGCAACAAAACAACUAAGAGGAUUUGUGUUAGACUCUUCAAAAGGUCUGAUUCUGGUUGAAGACCUGAUAUUUUGAGCAUGGAGAAUGCCUAAGUUAUAAACACAAUUUGUGAGAACUCUGAUAGAGGAGUUUUAGUUGAUUUAAAAAAAUAUUUGAUGGAAUAACUUGAUUUUGCUCAAAUUUAGAGAAAUGGAAGACCGAAUCAAUUGAUUAAAGAUUAUUUUUAAUCGAUUAAAAGGAAUCAGAAAAGCACCAAACUUAUAACUCAUCAAGAACAAACAUAAGUAAUUCAACAAAACAUGCCUUUUAUCAUAAUCACAUACUAUAGAAUCUAGAUAGUAGAUUGUAGAGAAAUAAGGCAGCAUUAACUUAAUAAUCAAUCUUAGAAUAGAUUUGUAUUUGAUUGGAAUAUGCACUUAUUAUAAGAUUGAAGACACUAGAACAUGAAUGUUAGUAGAAAGUUUCAAUUACUCUGUCAGUUUUAAUUAACUUCUAUCAAUCUAGUUUCAGCCUGGCAUCAGCUGAGAAAAUAGCUAAAAGGGAAUAAUGACUACAAUUGUAACUCAAGAAUCAUCAGUCAAAGUUAUAAGAGGUCAAUUUGGAAAAAGACAGAACCUUCACUGCAUGGUUAAGCACCCCCUCUAUACAAGAAUGAUUCGAUUUACUAAUGAAUAAUUUUAACAUGAAGGAAACCAACUCUGCAAAAAGAAUUUGUAUGUUUCCUCCACUCUGCUUCUUUCUCCUUUGCUGUUUCCUCCUUGUUAAGAUCUUUCUCUGUUCUUUUUGGGCAGAAACAUUCAGACAAAAACUUUGAUUUGGUUCCUUUAAGCUCUUUGCCUCUAAAAGCUAGAUUGUUAAUAAGCUGGCUUUCUUCCAACAUCAGAUGUUAUAUGGCUUCUAAGCUAGAUUGCAGCUAAGCUGGUUUUCUUCCCAGAUGUGAUAUCCGCGAAGAGAUUAAAGGCGCUUCUUCAUCAAAAUGAGUAUCGGAAACUAAAUCAUUUUGUAAUGUCUCCUCAUUGCUGAUCACAUCAUCCUCUGCCUUUUUCUCCAUCUGUAACUCCUAUAUUUAUUCAAAAAGCAAAGCGCAAAAGUCAAACCAAUAAAUAUGCUUCCUUAAAAAAAAUGAAGGUUCACUAGCACCAACUGCAAUCAGACUUGAAUGAGUUGAAUCAAUCAUCAAUCACUAUGUCAGUAAGCAAAACUUAAUUACGCCCGCAGAAAGGAGAGGAGAAAGGUCAGAUUAGAUAAACAAUUAAUUAGUCUGCUAUAUCUGUAAGAAAUUAUCAAGCCAAAAAGAACCAUAUGAUUAGAGUUUGAAAUUUGGACAUGUCUUUUCACUCCCAAAAACAAAGGAUGUGUGAAGGCAUGAUGAAGUAGAACUUUACUCAAUUUCUUUAUUCAUAUGGUGGCUAGGUUAUAAAAUAAAACAGUACUCACAGUUACUGCAAUGAAUGUUUGGAUCAUUUGAUUAAAAUUCAUGGAAGAAAAGAUGGCUAAAGACCUAAAGUUAAGUAGUAAGUAACUAAUGUCAAAUUCACACAGAAUGGUGAUAAAUAGUACUAAAUUGUAAUGUAAUCCAAAUGGAAUGAAAUCGAAUGGCCAUUCUCAAUUCACAGUUUGGUAGCUUGUUGAAUGGAAAUGACUUUCCAAACCAUUCAAUUGUUUGAUACCUAGAAUUACAUGAGUAUUUAAAAGGAAUUACAGGAUCAGGUUGAAAAUAGAAUUGAAAUUUAGAAAUCAUAAAUUCAAUAAAAAAAUGGAUGAUAAUUAUCAUUGUAUGAAAUAAAUGAGGCUGUGUUAGAAAACAUUCCAUUCUUUUUUCUACAAACAUGGGAAUGUUUAUGGAAUAAAUCACAAAAUGGCAUCGCCUUUCUAGUAUAAAACACCACAUAAGAGAAUAGAGCCAAAGACACUUAAAUCAUGCAUGAAUGCUGAUCAAACUACAAAACAAAAACAAAAAAAAUUACUGAAAAGGCUGACCUUUGUUGAUUCAUCUUGGGUACUUUGAAGUUGAGAUGUGCGAGCAUCUUUGACCUUCAGGUAGUUGUAUAAAACAACGCCACUUAAAGCUGCUCAUUCAAAAAUAAUUUAUAUAAAGAGACACAUAAAGGAAAUCCAUGCAAUACAACAAAUUUAAACUACUAUAAUAGUAUAAUGUCUUUUCAUUAAAGAAGCAUAUACCAAUAGCAUAGCCAGUAAUAUUAAGCCCUGUAAUCUUUGACUCAGGAAAUAAGACAGUAGAAAGAGUGAUAAGUAACCAGUCUUUCAAAACUCCAGCCACUCGAAUAGUUACUGCCCCAGUUCUACCAAUCACUAAGAAAGUUGAAAGAUUCAACGCCAAAGCACAAAGCGCAUUUGAGAAAAAUAUCCAGAAGUUAAAUUGCAUAUGCGGAUCUUCCAUCUCAGGCUUCUCAAGGAUAUACCAUGGGAUAAAAAGAAAUACAAAGCUGCAUACAAUAAUGAGCGAAUGAUCAUUAUUCUUCCAGAUAAAUAAAGAUAUAAAUAAUAAAUUUGAAUUUCAUUGUACCCAUUGACAUUUUCAAUACACAGAUAUUUCAAUAUUUGUGCCUCUCCCUGCCCCAUUCCCUUUCUUGAGUCAAAAUAAGUGCAUUAUAAGCAUAUAAAAGGCUACCAAUGGUAUAUGCAGAACUAUAAAAGGGCUUUGAAAUGCAUAAGAAUAGAACUACCUGCAAGGUGCUAUGUAAUACAAGCUGGUAAUAGGAUUUAGUGUCAAGCCCUUCUUUUGAAGAAGAACUUGAGUUAAGACCAGCCUCAACGCUUCAGCAAUUAUUCCUGUGACCUGAUAAACUGUACCGAUUACAUUAAAAUGAAUUUCCCCGUAGGAGGAAAUUACAACUCCAACACUGACCAGCACCAUGUUCCAGAACACGUCACACCUUAAUUUCUCAGUUCCAAGAGUCACAGCCACCAGAAAUGUUGCCACAGGCACUGCAAAUAAAAAAUAAAUAACAAAAGGGAUGAUUUCUAUUAGGGAUUGUUAUUUUCCAAAAAUAUGGCAGCUGGAAGGAUGAUAAGCGAAAAUUAACUCACUCAGGGCUUUAAGCAUCUGGAUGAAGGCGACAGAAAUGAAUAAAUAGGCAGUGUUCCCAAACCUAAAAGGACAACAAAGUAAUUAAAUCAACAUUUUCAAUGCAACUAUGAAUUUGGGAAGGUAGUUUUAAAGUAAUUAAUAAAACUUCAAAGGCUAUGUGAUGUAAUACAGUAAUUAUUACUAAUACAACUUUAGCUCAAUUUUCUUUUUUUAUGAUAUUCUAUGGUGCAAUAUAAAAGUAUUCCAAUCCUUUCAAAUCCCGAUUCUUUCAAACAUAAUUUGUUGAUUUCAGGAUAACUAUUAUGAAAUCACGAGUUGUAUCAGCUAAUUUCCAACAAAAUGCAUAGGCAAUCAAGAAGAUGAAUAACAAAUAUACUGUAGCAUACACGUCUCAGGGUAUGUUAUCUAAAUCUUCUUAUUUCUUAUAUCUGCAAACAGAAAUUGAUGAACAUAUUUGUGCCAGAUGAUGUUUGUUUGAUCCAAGAAGUUUGUAAUGAAACCAUUUGUUUUAUCAGCAAACUUCCAACUAAACAGAGAAGGUAAUAGACAGAAUGAAUAGCAAAUACAAUAUAAAAUUCCAAUACAAUGUUAUUUGAAGUCUAGCAUAUCUACAAAUAAAAUUUACAUUCAUGAAUCUUGUGCUGCAACGUUUUUUUGCUUGGCACCACAAACCCGAGUAUGCACACACACACAAUGAAACAAAAUGCUCAAAACAUGAUUUGAUUAAGGAAGCAUAAACUUGAUGAUCAUAACUCGCUCAGACACUGUUUUAUUUUGUUUACAAAAGGGAACAGAAACAGUAGAGUAUCAACUUCACUAAGAUGCCAGGGAACUUUAGCACUGACUUUACAAACAUAUAAAUGAAUAUGGGGGGCUGUUUAAGGAACACAUAUUAGAAUUUAGAAAUGGGUUUGCUCAAAUUACAACUUUGGAUCAAUAAUGUCAAUUGCUUACCACAGACUUGCGGCAAAGAAGGCGCUUAUAGGGACCACACAAGUUGCAUAUCUGCAAAUCAUACUUUUUGUGAGAAGCGAGAUAUAAUAAGCGAAAUGUGAAACAGGAUAUCCAUGUAGAAUUCUUACAUAUGUAAUGUCAUCUUAAUAGGUGAUACAACCUGCAUCAAUUGAAAGAAGAUGAAAAAGAAAUAUCAUCCAGUUGAUUCAGCAAUACUUUUCAAGAAAAAGCUAAUGAAUAAUAAGGGAAUAGCAUUAAGGAGUCAACAACAU